GUGCCAUCUGAAGGGUGACGUUGGAUUGUCUGGUGCAUGUCGGCAGUGUAUGCUGGCUGUUUUUGAUUUAGCUGUGUUGCUUGUUAUGGGCUUAUAUAGUUUAUUAUCCUUACAUAGAACACAGCACCCACUUGAAGUGGCCUAGUAGCAAAGCACAGAACAUGUUUCAAAAGACUACAAGACCUCUUCUUCCGUCUCCAAGCCGGAAUAUAAUGCCGAUGGUCUCCCUCAACUGCAGGUAUUGCGUUACCAUACCAGGGUUUCUGAAACUGAUUCAAAUGGCCCUGAGUGCAGCAUGUGUUCAGGUGAUGCUCAUGUACUGUCGUCCGUCCUACACCUAUCACAGCUGGGGAUUCCUUGGCCGAGGCGAAGAAACCGUAUUUGUCCUGGUGAAUUUCAGCGCCCUCGUCAUGAAUGCCAUAUUGUUCACUGCGUGCUUACUGUCUGUGCCAACUGCUACAGCAGUCUCCAAAACGCUUGUGGAUUUCAUGGGAAAUCUGACCCACUUCUUUGGUUGCAUAGGCAGCAGUUUGGCUCUUCUUUCAUCGAUGCUGGUCCAACAAACAGCUACAAGCUACAAGGAGUAUGCAUUUGAGGGGAAGGUCACUGUUUCGGUUUUAGGGAUAGUGAAUUCCCUACUCUAUCUGUGCAGUGGCCUGGGGGCUUAUUGGACCUGCAAGUCACAUCGCUUUUAGCAAGGAAAGGCAUCCUCGUAAUGGUUUGAGAGUUACGUGAUGGCGUGACCUAGACGUCACAGUCAUGGCAAUUGCAUGCAUAGAAUGUGAGCAUCUAUCUGGUACACAUGGUGGUAGAAGCUCAGUGCACAGGUGACUAGGGCAGUUGGCGGGCAAGUUACUUUCAGGGAAUCAAUAUAUAUCAUGCCAAAUGAAAUACCGUAAAGGUAGUAAUUUUUGCAUUGACCAAUUUUCGCGAUUGUUGUUUCCCCCACGAAUUUUGAGUCCAGUUAAAUAUUGCUAACUACGACAGGAACAAAUAGAAAAAUUGCACCAAACGAGUUUCACGAAGUCGAACUGACCCACUGGGUGCACUUUAACGUAGCACUAUUUUAGCACACGUUGACUUCACUUCGGCAACAUUUACACUGCUGUACAAUCGAUUGUACACUCAUUCGAUCAUUGUUUCGUUGUUCCACCCUCGUUCUUGAUUCAACAUUACAUGCUUGAUGGUUGACCUCAGGUUCCCCUGGGAAAGGUUUGAUUCUACAUGGAUGUUGCAGAAACACCAGUAGUUCUGACCCAGAUGAGCUGCAUCGUACGACAUAGAACAUGCGUCACGAAAUUAAGGUCCCGCGAAAUAUUCUAUAUACAUCCCGCCGAGCGAAUUUGUGAACUGCCACGAAAUUUAUUACUCUUACAGUAUAUAAUUUGCUGCAUCUUGUUCACUUCACUCGAUUAUCAUGAUCAUUGUGGCGUGUAUUUCGAGCAUUUGCGGUAGAAGCCCAGACUACCAGCCAAAAAAGGUAACAGACACAAAGUUUUUCAUGUUCUGCUGGUUUUGAACAAAAUAUCUCGAAUGAUAUAUUGUGAUUAACAUUUUGAAGUCCGUUUUACGUGCAUUCUGUAACUUUUUAUUGAAGUGUUACGUCAUAGGAGUGAUGGAACUAAAAUGUCUCUUUUGGCUGUCUCGGUAAACAUAACUGCAGCUGUAAUAAUUUAUUUUUUAUUCACUUUAAAACGCUAUAAAGAGGUAGCUCGUUACCAGCUGUUACCCAAGACUUAGUUGCGGUCUAAAUCAGCAGCAUAACUAGCUCUCAUGGUGCCUAGCUUUAAAAGCGACAAUCGGGCGAGUAACUCAAUACUUUUUUUUUUUAACUCCAUCAUUUUUGCACUCAUCUCUAUGAAAGUGACCCCAUCGUUUCAUAAGAGAGACAGUGGGUAAUUGUAUACAAGCCCAUCAUUUCUGAACUGCUUGUCUUUGUGUUUUAACACAAAUUGGUCUUUAGUUGCAUUGGAAGCUCUCUUCUUGCACGUACAAUGUGUAACUGCUGGUUUGCGUAAUAUGAUUGUUUUAGUCUCAAGUUGCUUUUGACUCAAUAUGUAUUUGACUACCAAGAGGGAAGUCAUUGUUCCAAAAGGUGAUCAUUGUUGCUCUGCAAUCCCAGGUUUGUGUCUCAAUUUUUCUUAGAACAAAGGCCAAUGCCAAACAAACCUGGACAGACUGUUCUUGGCACAUAUACAUUCUUUUUAGUUCACACGGGCAUCCAAAUGGGGUGGUGUUAGGCAUUAGACGUGCAAAUUCCUGGGAAUAUGGGACUCUUCAGACAGCGUACAUAUAUUUACCAUGUUUUGAAAGGUGAAUUCUCGAAGGAUAGUAGCAUGCACAGAUAUAUUUUAUGCCCAUAUUUUGUGUGCAUAAAAUGUCAAUGGGUUUUGGAUUUGUUACAGCAAGAAUUAUUUAGGAUAUCACCACAUUUUUUUUAAUACUCCAUGUUGUAGGUAACAUUAUUAAGCUUCAUGAUUUUAGUGAAAGGGUUGCUUAAAAUUUGAUAGUAUGCACGGGCAUUUUAUGUCUACAAAGGAAGAGCAUAAAAAACAUUUGGAAGUAUGCUAAUGCAUUCUGACUUCUGGGCAUACGUCCUAAAAAUUGUCACAAGUAUUUUGCCCAUGUUUGGCAUCUGCCUCUGUUGUAGAAAAGGCGACAAAUAUCUGCGUUGGUUCAGCAAUGCCAUUGGCUCCUGUGGUGGGGAAUGACCUAGUUACUGUUUCCACAUGUUUUUAUUAUAGGAAUGUAAAUUGAAUACAUAUGGAGCAUUUGUUGCUAUUAUGCAAUGUUCACCUGUUUGUUCCUCGACAUAUUUUUAUAUUUAUCUUGUCACAUAGGUGACUUUCUUGUUCACUGCUUGUACAUUCCUGUGGCUACCUAUGCCUGUAUAAUUGUGAAGAUGAUUUGGGUGUAUCGAUUCUUUAAACGUCUAUCAAAUAUGUUUUUACAGAAUACACUGCAUAUUUGUGCGAACUGCUGAAAGUGCAGUAUGUUUAUGAGCAUUAUAUGUGUGUAUCUACAAGGUGUAUAAGUAGGUGAUGCUACACGGCGUUAAAGCUGUAAUGUGGACAAGUUGGUACAUCGUCAACGAGUGGGGGAGGGGAAACAGUGCAAAAGACAGGACAAAGAAAGAAACAACCAACCACACAGAUGAAGUGCUGACGAGCAACUGAGGGUCUUUAUACCGCACUGAAAGUCAUAAUUGAAAUCACGUGACACUCUGUUAGUCCUAACUUGCAGUGUUUCUACUUAGGAAAGUGCGGUUUCAAAUUUAACAGAGUUUGGAACUGCACUUGGAACAUAGGAACAUUCGGGAAUAAGGUGAUGAUCACUGCUGAUAGGCGGAUAUUUUCAAAUUACCGAAUAUUUCAAAAUGUUGAGCAUCAGAUUUCUUGAAUCAGGUUUAAGACGGACAACGAAAGCAUUUAAUUCAUGUUGAGAAUGUUCCUUAUUUGUAUACAUCUAAUAUUAGCUUCAGGUAACUGUGCUCUACAAAGUUCUGUACAUACCAGUAGAUUAACUUUUUUUUUAUUUCAAAAGUUAUACCUGGGAUCUGGUUAUAUCACAUGCUGAAGAGGUUGCUUGUGCACUUGAUUUAUGUGACCUCUUUCUGACAGAAGCUGUGUUUGAAUUUAUUCAACCAUAAAUGUUGGAAGCAGUACACCUAGGAAAUAGAACAACCAGCUAAAGCAUAUUUCUCCAUGAGAUGCCCUAUUUUAGAACACUUAAAUAUGUAACUCUUUACAAUAGAAGAAGAAAGGUAUGUGAAAACAUACACAGAUAGUGUGAUCUCAAGGUUCAUAACUAUAAAAGAAAUGCCAGCAUACGAAGGUAUUAGCGGCUCCGUACUUAAUUCUUACUUUAUUGCAGUGUGGACCAUUACUGUGUUUGAACGUAGUAUGCACUGCAAAAUUGGCACGCCAUCUACAGGGUUAUUCUAGCAAACGUUACACAUUUCGACCGCACUGUAAAAAUAGCAGACUACAUUUGGCCCAUCCCAAACUUUGCAGACU
This is an RNA transcript of Ornithodoros turicata, 4016 nucleotides long. RefSeq lists it as uncharacterized. The record is from RefSeq and is a predicted model, not a curated record. The transcript has 5 exons. Lineage: Eukaryota; Metazoa; Arthropoda; Arachnida; Ixodida; Argasidae.